Molecule: long non-coding RNA, 1639 nt
Organism: Mesocricetus auratus (golden hamster)
Lineage: Eukaryota; Metazoa; Chordata; Mammalia; Rodentia; Cricetidae
Exons: 3
Source: RefSeq, a predicted model, not a curated record
CCCGCCCAUCCCACCUGCAGAGCACCGUUGAAGCUCAGUUCUCCAGCGCCCGCAGGCUCAGGCAGCUGACAGCCAGAGGGGGAGAGACCCGGGUGAAAUUCUGUAUCCCGGGGGUGUCUUCUCAGGACUUUGGGGGCUCCCACCUGAGUGGCAGUUAACACGAAUGGAGAUCUUAGCUGUCCAUCCCUGAACCUGGAGACUCUUAAUGCGCUGCCCAAGGCCAUCAUCCCCCCAACACAGUGAGGCAAUGGAGCUGUCAGCAGAACACCUGAGCGCCUCUGAGGUCAUGAGAGCGAAUAGUUAUGCGAAGCCAUCAGCCCCUGACCAUGCGUCUCUAACAGGGUGACGUGGUAUACAGUCUAAGGAUACACAAGGACAGUCAAGCUUGAAAGUGACCAGAGAAGGCGCCUUUUCCAGGCUUUUUUUUUCUGGCCCCUAGCGACGGAGAACUGAAGGAGAAUGCCAGUGGUCAGAAGCAAGCCCAGGCCCUCCUCAGAGAACCAACGGCUACUGCAAAAUGAGGAACUCUGUUCAGAAGGAAGUCUGCUUUGACCUUUGGCUCCCCUCCCAUCUCCUUGCCAGAUGUCACAGUACUGAAGAAGGAUAGCCCCUCCAUGUGGACACGGCAUUCCACAAGGCUCAGCCUGGCCUCCCCAGACAGGACCUGGGUUCUUAUCUCCCAAAUGCAUGUCUCCGAUAAAGUUUGCUCUGUCCAGAGCUCACCGUCCUACCCAUUCUGGGAGAGUCUUGUUCCCUUGUUCCUGGUAAGCUCUCUUUGCUCUUAUGUGACAGGUGUAAUAAACGCUCCGACAGCACGGGUGAUUCAGAUUCAAGUUGGCACACACUGAAGGCCUGAUAGUCAGCAAGACAGCACCUACAGGGUAGAGCUAGUCUGUGUUCUAACUGGUCGUUGCACUGGACUUCUCUGAUGAAAUAUUUUCACAGUUGUCCCCUGCACUUACCAUGUCCAAGUUUGCACAGGCUGUUUCAUUAAGUCCUUGAAAGCCUAUUGGACAGAAAUUUCAUUUUACAGAGAAAGACAAAAGAGAAGGGGGCUUUGGAGUCAUGAGCCCAAGCCUAUUCUCUCUGCCACCCUCCAAUCGCUCAGCUUCUCCAAGGCCAUCUCCCCCUGCUUCCCCAGCAAUGGGCAUCUGCAUGGCCUCCCAGCCUUCUCUGUGGGGAACAGAGGUGAGCAGAGGUCCUCAGGCCGGGCCGAGGAAGCGCUCUCUGGAGUGUGUAUGAACUGUUACGACGGGCCACUGCUGUUAGGUGGCACAGUGCUUGGAUGAGUGUGGGACAAGCUGGGACACGUCACACGAAGUUGUGGCUGUGCACAGAGUGGUGUUCGUGUUUGCAGUUUCUGGAGUCAGUGGGCCAGCCAGCAGGACCUUGCCAGAAGGGACAGCACCGUCUUCUGACAGACUCUUCAUCAAAGCGGUCAAGCAACCCUCACCUGGGCUGCAGCUUCCUCAUUCCCUGGACCUGCUGAAAGGAGUAAGGGGCCAACCGUCCGGUCCAGAGUGACCAUCAGAACAGCCUCAGCCACCGGGCGGUGGUGAUGCCCACCCUUAAUCCCAGCACUGGGGAGGCAGAGGCAGGCAGAUCUCUGAGUUGGAGACCAGCCUGGUCUAUAGAGAGA